Molecule: ribosomal RNA, 269 nt
Filed under: uncultured prokaryote
Description: partial 16S ribosomal RNA
Rfam family: Bacterial small subunit ribosomal RNA
Source: RNAcentral
UACGGAGGAUGCAAGCGUUAUCCGGAUUCAUUGGGUUUAAAGGGUGCGUAGGCGGACUGGUAAGUCAGUGGUGAAAUCUUUCGGCUUAACCGAGAAACUGCCAUUGAAACUGUCAGUCUUGAGUCAGGUUGAGGUAGGCGGAAUGUGUAAUGUAGCGGUGAAAUGCUUAGAUAUUACACAGAACACCAAUUGCGUAGGCAGCUUACUGGACCUGCACUGACGCUGAGGCACGAAAGCGUGGGGAGCGAACAGGAUUAGAUACCCCCGUA